RNAcentral lists this transfer RNA (72 nucleotides) under Ovis aries (sheep). It matches the Rfam family "tRNA". Rfam says of the family: Transfer RNA (tRNA) molecules are approximately 80 nucleotides in length. Their secondary structure includes four short double-helical elements and three loops (D, anti-codon, and T loops). The record is from Rfam by way of RNAcentral. Lineage: Eukaryota; Metazoa; Chordata; Mammalia; Artiodactyla; Bovidae.
UCUCUGGUGGCUCAGAGGGUAAAGCAUCUGCCUGCAAUGCGGGAGACCUGGGUUCAAUCCCUGGGUUGGGAA